Molecule: long non-coding RNA, 2179 nt
Filed under: Daucus carota (carrot)
Lineage: Eukaryota; Viridiplantae; Streptophyta; Magnoliopsida; Apiales; Apiaceae
Description: long non-coding RNA (DCAR_LNC001313)
Source: RNAcentral
AACUGGACCGGGGUAGCUUUUGCUUUUUUGCCUUCAAAAAUUUUUCGAAAAAUUUUUCUAAGUAAGAGAUAGGUCAAACUGGACCGGGGUAGCUUUUUGUUUGUUUGCCUUAGAAAAAUUUUUCCAAGUAAGAUAGCUCAUGAUUGAACCGGGGUACUCGGGUUCUCAAAAUUGAACCGGGGUAGCUUUUGCUUUUUGCCUUGGAAAAUUUUUCCAAGUAAGAGAUAUGUCAUAACUGGACCGGGGUAGCUUUUUGUUUGUUUGCCUUGGAAAAUAAUUUUUCCAAGUAAAAGAUAUGUCAUAACUGGACCGGGGUAGCUUUUUGUUUGUUUGCCUUGGAAAAUAAUUUUUCCAAGUAAAAGAUAUGUCAUAACUGGACCGGGGUAGCUUUUUGUUUGUUUGCCUUGGAAAAUAAUUUUUCCAAGUAAAAGAUAUGUCAUAACUGGACCGGGGUAGCUUUUUGUUUGUUUGCCUUGGAAAAUAAUUUUUCCAAGUAAAAGAUAUGUCAUAACUGGACCGGGGUAGCUUUUUGUUUGUUUGCCUUGGAAAAUAAUUUUUCCAAGUAAAAGAUAUGUCAUAACUGGACCGGGGUAGCUUUUUGUUUGUUUGCCUUGGAAAAUAAUUUUUCCAAGUAAAAGAUAUGUCAUAACUGGACCGGGGUAGCUUUUUGUUUGUUUGCCUUGGAAAAUAAUUUUUCCAAGUAAAAGAUAUGUCAUAACUGGACCGGGGUAGCUUUUUGUUUGUUUGCCUUGGAAAAUAAUUUUUCCAAGUAAAAGAUAUGUCAUAACUGGACCGGGGUAGCUUUUUGUUUGUUUGCCUUAGAAAAAUUUUUCCAAGUAAGAUAGCUCAUGAUUAAACCGGGGUACUCGGGUUCUCAAAAUUGAACCGGGGUAGCUUUUGCUUUUUGCCUUGGAAAAUUUUUCUAAGUAGAGAUAGGUCAUAACCGGACCGGGGUAGCAUUUGCAUUAUGCCUUAGAAAAUUUUUCUAAGUAAGAUGAUUGAACCCGGGUAGCUUUUGCUUGUUUGCCUUAGAAAAAUUUUUCCAAGUAAGAGAUAGCUCAAAAUUGAACCUGGGUAGCUUUUGGUUUUUGCCUUGGAAAAUUUUUCCAAGUAGAGAUAGGUCAUAACUGGACCGGGGUAGCAUUUGCUUUAUGCCUUAGAAAAUUUUUCAUGAAUUUUUUUUUAAGUAAGAGAUAGGUCAUAACUAGACCGGGGUAGCUUUUGCUUGUUUGCCUUAGAAAAUUUUUUCCAAGUAAGAGAUAGCUCAUGAUUGAACCCGGGUAGCUUUUGCUUGUUUGCCUUAGAAAAUUUUUUCCAAGUAAGAGAUAGCUCAUGAUUGAACCCGGGUAGCUUUUGCUUGUUUGCCUUAGAAAAUUUUUUCCAAGUAAGAGAUAGCUCAUGAUUGAACCCGGGUAGCUUUUGCUUGUUUGCCUUAGAAAAUUUUUUCCAAGUAAGAGAUGGCUCAUGAUUGAACCCGGGUAGCUUUUGCUUGUUUGCCUUGAAAAAAAAAUUCCAAGUAAGAGAUAACUCAUGAUUGAACCCGGGUAGCUUUUGCUUGUUUGCCUUAGAAAAAAAAUUUCCAAGUAAGAGAUAGCUCAAAAUUGAACCGGGGUAGCUUUUGGUUUUUGACUUGGAAAAUUUUUCAAGAAUUUUUUUUCUGAGUAAGAGAUAGCUCAUGAUUGAACCCGGGUAGCUUUUGCUUGUUUGCCUUGGAAAAUUUUUUCCAAGUAAGAGAUAACUCAUGAUUGAACCCGGGUAGCUUUUGCUUGUUUGCCUUAGAAAAAUUUUUCCAAGUAAGAGAUAGCUCAAAAUUGAACCGGGGUAGCUUUUUGUUUGUUUGCCUUGGAAAAAAAAAUUCCAAGUAAGAGAUAGAUCAUGAUUGAAGCGGGACUUGCUCAUAAGCCUUUAUUCUUCUAGCUGGAUCCUUCUUUGAAUUUUCUGCUCUAGCUUUUCUCCUUCUUCCCUCCGGAUGUGUUCUGUUUUUUUUUUUUUUUUGGCCAGGAUCUUUCGCCUUGUGGCAUCACUUUUUCUCUACUUCUUUUUCCUUACUUUGUCACCAAUCCGGUCAAAAACGGAACCCCGGGAUUGGCGGGAAUUUUCAAAGUCUUCAAAAUCAGCAAUCAACCCGGGUCCUUUGAGGUUCUCGGCUCGUUGUUCCUGGUAUAACCGGAUUGCUUCG